GGGAAUGUGGUUCAGUGGUAGAGUGCUUGCCUUGCAUGCAUGAAGCCCUGGGUUCCAUUCCUC
Molecule: transfer RNA, 63 nt
Filed under: Dipodomys ordii (Ord's kangaroo rat)
Lineage: Eukaryota; Metazoa; Chordata; Mammalia; Rodentia; Heteromyidae
Rfam family: tRNA
About the family: Transfer RNA (tRNA) molecules are approximately 80 nucleotides in length.
Source: Rfam by way of RNAcentral